RNAcentral lists this ribosomal RNA (394 nucleotides) under uncultured bacterium. RNAcentral's name for it is "bacterial SSU rRNA". It matches the Rfam family "Bacterial small subunit ribosomal RNA", at positions 505 to 898 of the family's 1533-position model. The record is from RNAcentral.
GUGUCAGCAGCCGCGGUAAGACGAACCGUGCGAACGUUGUUCGGAUUCACUGGGCUUAAAGGGCGCGUAGGCGGCUUGCCAAGUCAGGGGUGAAAUCUUUCGGCUCAACCGGAAAAGUGCCUUUGAUACUGGCGAGCUAGAGGGAGGUAGGGGUGCGUGGAACUUCUGGUGGAGCGGUGAAAUGCGUAGAUAUCAGAAGGAACGCCGGUGGCGAAAGCGACGCACUGGAUCUCUACUGACGCUGAGGCGCGAAAGCCAGGGGAGCGAACGGGAUUAGAUACCCCGGUAGUCCUGGCCCUAAACGAUGGGUACUAGGUUGUAGACUUGACAUGGGUUUACAGCCGAAGCAAAAGUGUUAAGUACCCCGCCUGGGGAGUAUGGUCGCAAGGCUGAA